RNAcentral lists this ribosomal RNA (459 nucleotides) under uncultured bacterium. RNAcentral describes it as "partial 16S ribosomal RNA". It matches the Rfam family "Bacterial small subunit ribosomal RNA", at positions 338 to 795 of the family's 1533-position model. The record is from RNAcentral.
CCUACGGGUGGCAGCAGUGAGGAAUAUUGGUCAAUGGGCGGAAGCCUGAACCAGCCAAGUAGCGUGCGGGAUGAAGGCCCUACGGGUUGUAAACCGCUUUUGCACGGGGAUAACACCCUCCACUUGUGGCGGUCUGCAGGUACCGUGCGAAUAAGGGCCGGCUAAUUCCGUGCCAGCAGCCGCGGUAAUACGGAAGGCACGAGCGUUAUCCGGAUUUAUUGGGCUUAAAGGGAGCGUAGGCGGGCGUUCAAGUCAGCUGUAAAAUCGCGGGGCUCAACUGCGAACCGCAGUUGAAACUGGACGCCUUGAGUUCACAACAGGCAGGCGGAAUUCGUGGUGUAGCGGUGAAAUGCAUAGAGAUCACGAGGAACCCCGAUUGCGAAGGCAGCCUGCCGGGGUGCGACUGACGCUGAGGCACGAAGGUGCGGGUAGCAAACAGGAUUAGAUACCCGGGUAGUC